Pararge aegeria (speckled wood butterfly) is the source of this 198-nucleotide long non-coding RNA. RefSeq lists it as uncharacterized. The record is from RefSeq and is a predicted model, not a curated record. NCBI's taxonomy places the organism in Eukaryota, Metazoa, Arthropoda, Insecta, Lepidoptera, Nymphalidae. The transcript has 2 exons.
CCGGGCCUUAAAAGUGCAUUCUUCUCAUCCUAAUUGACAAUUUAUUUAUGAUAUGAUUAUUUUACGACCGAAAACCUAUAGCCACCUUGGCCGGUUGAAAUAUGUUUUACAUACAUUAAAAGCGUAGGUAUGCUCGAUAUGUAUAUUGUGAUGUUACAAUCGACCACUGUUGCAACACAAGAACUGUGACAAUGACGU